Passer domesticus (house sparrow) is the source of this 1441-nucleotide long non-coding RNA. RefSeq lists it as uncharacterized. The record is from RefSeq and is a predicted model, not a curated record. The transcript has 4 exons. Lineage: Eukaryota; Metazoa; Chordata; Aves; Passeriformes; Passeridae.
AGCAGAUGCUUGCAGCCUUCUCAGGUGGAAUGGUGUUACUCUGUAUAGGGAGAUACCUGAAGCCUUCUGUAAGAGGAAAGACUCAGGAAAUUCUUCUCUGCAUUACUCUGAUUCCUGAUUGACUUCAGGGCUUGCACACCAGACCAACACACUUGGAGACCUGAGAUCCACCACUGAUUUAUAAAGCUGCCUAUUGCUUGACCUCCUGCACAAUUUUAGGAGAAAAGGGGUACAUUGCUGCUGGUGGCUUGCAGAAGUCUGUGUGUGAUCAUUGCUGCUGACUGCUGAACUACAAUCUCUCUGUGAUGAAUGAACUAAAGGAACCCAACCUGAUGUUUGGGUCACUGACUGGAUUAGCAAAAGUUUAAAAAAACCCUCCAAACCCCAAAAGUUCUAUUGCAAGUGCAUUUUAUCAAGCUACUCCUUUUUAGCGGUUUCCCUUUCUGGUCAUCAAAUUACUUUCGAACAGUGUUUUCAAAAGUUUAUCUCCUGUUUUGGUUUUCUGAUGCCAUUUUCCACAGACUUUACCCAGGUAUGUGUGAAGUAUUUUGGAUUGUUGGACUGCUGUUCCGCAGGCACUAACACAGCAGUCCUACAACUGUUUCCAGGCACUGGUAUGAAAUAAAAGCAACUGGCUUGCUAGUCCGGUGCUAGCAAAGGAAUUUGAAUGCCUUGUGAAAGUGACUGAUGCAGUUUUGCAAUCCUAGUUAAUUUUUGAACAAAAUAAUAAAUAAAAAUAACUACCAAAAUAAUGCUGGAUUCCUGAAAUUGUUGCUUAGGAGUUUUGGAGAAUAAAGCUUAAAAUCUCUGCACUAUCUAUUGCAAACUUGCUCCCUUGAAAAUAUUUGGGAAAUCUUUAUUUUCUGUAUGGGAAUAUUGUAGAACCUGUGUAAGUUGUUUUUUUUUUUUCAGGAUGAAAUGUGAAACCUGUUAAUUUAUGUUUCAUAAACCUACUGUAGUAAUGACACUACAGUCUGUAGUUUGGGGCUAGGAUCAAACUGAAGAAAGGAAGAGCAGAUGUUAAUGCACCAAAAAAAUAAUUCCCUGUGAUUCUCUGAGUGGUUUACAAGCAACACAUGCUUUAAAGAUGAAGCUGAGGAAGAUGAAGUACAAUAGGAAUGACUUAACUGUCACUUUCAAAGCAAUUUAUAAAUGCAUGAAAGGGAGGGAGUUGUUUCUGAUUGUGCUUGAGCACACUUCCAUGCAGGGAGACUUGUCAGAUGGCAUGGAAAUAAAAAGCAGCUUCUUUGGCAUGUUGUAUAUUGAUUGCUCUGUCAAGGACAGUGAUCUCUGAAUUGAUCUGAUGUUCUGCCACACUUCAUGCCCUGUCCUUUGCCUUAAUGCAGCACUAAUAACAGUUGUGAUAAUUGGAACUAUUACUUAACAUGUUUUUAAUCUCAGCAAGUAAGAGAUAAUGUUUCAUCAGAGCAGAAGUGUUGUC